GGCUUUAUAUUAAUAAAAUAUGAUAACAGAAUACAAUUCUAUAGCAGUAAUAAAUUACUAAGACUU
This 66-nucleotide transfer RNA is filed under the name Melanozosteria nitida. Its description in RNAcentral is "tRNA-Cys". The record is from RNAcentral. Lineage: Eukaryota; Metazoa; Arthropoda; Insecta; Blattodea; Blattidae.